GUGCUCGCUUCGGAAGCACACAUACUAAAAUUGGAAUUGUACAGAGACGAUUAGCAUGGAUGACACGCAAAUUCAUGAAAUGUUCCAUAUUUUU
RNAcentral lists this small nuclear RNA (94 nucleotides) under Neotoma lepida (desert woodrat). Lineage: Eukaryota; Metazoa; Chordata; Mammalia; Rodentia; Cricetidae. The record is from RNAcentral.